CGGUGAAUACGUUCCCGGACCUUGCACACACCGCCCGUCAAGCCAUGGAAGCUGGGUGUACCUAAAGUCGAUAACCGUAAGGAGUCGCCUAGGGUAAAACUAGUAACUGGGGCU
Molecule: ribosomal RNA, 114 nt
Filed under: uncultured bacterium
Lineage: Bacteria
Description: partial 16S ribosomal RNA
Rfam family: Bacterial small subunit ribosomal RNA
Source: RNAcentral